UAAUAAAAGUUUUUCCAGGUUGAGGAAAAAUAAAUAAGAUUCCUUACAGUCCAGAGGCACAAUGACUUCUAACCAGAAUAAAUACAAAUAAAGUUAUGCCAAUAAUAUCCAACUGAAACUGCUGGACACCAGAGGCAACAAAAAAAUAAAGACAAUCAGGAGAAAGAAGAUUACCAGGAAAGAAAAGGUGAGAGGGAGGAAGAGAUUAACUACACAGAAAUAGCAUUUGGGCUGCAGCAGAUAUCUCAAAAACAGUAAGAAAGCUUAGAAAAUAAAAAUAAAUAAUAGUCUCACAAUGCUUAGAGGAAAUAACUACCAGUUUAGAGUUCUGUACCCCACUAAAUAAUUCUUCAGGAGUUGUGGGGGAGGGUGGAGAUAUUUUCAGAUAGAGGACUUUUCAUUUACUGGAUUUUUGUUUUUAGUCACUAGAGACUCCAUCAUUUAAAGUACUGCUCAGUAAUUGACUAUCGGAAGAAGAAAAUUGUACCCAGACGGUAGGAACAGAAUUCAUAAAUGGAUGGUCUGUGCUUCCCUGCUAACCAGCCCUCUGUCCCUCAAGACAUUUAUGACCUGUUCCAACAACUGAAAAAUGGGGAGUUAGAGUACACAGUAUAUGAAGGCUUAUAUUCCUCCUGACAUAAAUGUCUACUUUAGAAUCAAGAUCUGAAGAGAACGAUCAUCUUUACCUCUACUCUGCUUGCAUCUUCCUUGGCCCUACAUUGAGCAAAUUCCAUCGAUAACAGUUGCUUUGACGGAAGACUGUAGCAGGUUAUAAUGCCAGUGAGUAGAGAAGCCCUUUGAGGAACUGUAAUGAAUUCCUCAUAGCACACAGACAGAUGUGCUAUGUCCCGGCAAGGGAAGUAUCCAAUGGCCAGCCUUCAGAGUACAGUCAGUGUGAUGUUUUGCCCGGAGACUGUUAUUAUCCCAAAUGAGAAGGAGUGUGUGGUACUAUUAGAAACGAAUACGUCAAGCUAUAGUCAAACACCAGGAGAUAAAUAGAACGAACAUACUUUUCUCCAGAAAAAAGGUUACCAGAUUACUUACUUCAUUGAACAAAGGAGCAAGUUAGAAAACCACCCUGUUAACUCCCUCAUGCACUUGUGACAAAGACCUUCCUUCAAUCAAAUCGUGGAUACAACUGCUUCCUACCAUUCUUUUCAUCAUUCUCUCGGGCCAUUAUUUGCAAGUCAAGUGGGUAAUUCAUAGAGAGACACAGCGAGAGAGGGAACACAAGCA
Molecule: long non-coding RNA, 1236 nt
Organism: Enhydra lutris kenyoni (northern sea otter)
Lineage: Eukaryota; Metazoa; Chordata; Mammalia; Carnivora; Mustelidae
Exons: 7
Source: RefSeq, a predicted model, not a curated record